UGCCAGCAGCCGCGGUAAUACGGAGGGUGCAAGCGUUGUUCGGAAUCAUUGGGUUUAAAGGGUCCGUAGGCGGGCUAUUAAGUCAGAGGUGAAAGUUUGCGGCUCAACCGUAAAAUUGCCUUUGAUACUGGUAGUCUUGAAUUAGUAUGAAGUGGUUAGAAUAAGUAGUGUAGCGGUGAAAUGCAUAGAUAUUACAUAGAAUACCGAUUGCGAAGGCAGGUCACUAACAACGCAUUGACGCUGAGGGACGAAAGCGUGGGGAGCGAACAGGAUUAGAUA
Molecule: ribosomal RNA, 279 nt
Filed under: uncultured bacterium
Lineage: Bacteria
Description: partial 16S ribosomal RNA
Rfam family: Bacterial small subunit ribosomal RNA
Source: RNAcentral